Molecule: ribosomal RNA, 300 nt
Filed under: uncultured bacterium
Lineage: Bacteria
Description: bacterial SSU rRNA
Rfam family: Bacterial small subunit ribosomal RNA
Source: RNAcentral
GGAGCACGGGACGCAGCAGUGGGGAAUAUUGCACAAUGGGGGAAACCCUGAUGCAGCGACGCCGCGUGAGUGAAGAAGUAUUUCGGUAUGUAAAGCUCUAUCAGCAGGGAAGAAAAAAGACGGUACCUGACUAAGAAGCCCCGGCUAACUACGUGCCAGCAGCCGCGGUAAUACGUAGGGGGCAAGCGUUAUCCGGAUUUACUGGGUGUAAAGGGAGCGUAGACGGCGAUGCAAGUCUGAAGUGAAAGCCCGGGGCUCAACCCCGGGACUGCUUUGGAAACUGGAUGGCUGGAGUGCUGG